CCUACGGGAGGCAGCAGUGGGGAAUCUUGCGCAAUGGGCGAAAGCCUGACGCAGCCAUGCCGCGUGAAUGAUGAAGGUCUUAGGAUUGUAAAAUUCUUUCACCGGGGACGAUAAUGACGGUACCCGGAGAAGAAGCCCCGGCUAACUUCGUGCCAGCAGCCGCGGUAAUACGAAGGGGGCUAGCGUUGCUCGGAAUUACUGGGCGUAAAGGGAGCGUAGGCGGAUAGUUUAGUCAGAGGUGAAAGCCCAGGGCUCAACCUUGGAAUUGCCUUUGAUACUGGCUAUCUUGAGUGUGGGAGAGGUAUGUGGAACUCCGAGUGUAGAGGUGAAAUUCGUAGAUAUUCGGAAGAACACCAGUGGCGAAGGCGACAUACUGGCCCAUUACUGACGCUGAGGCUCGAAAGCGUGGGGAGCAAACAGGAUUAGAUACCCUGGUAGUCCACGCUGUAAACGAUGAGUGCUAGUUGUCGGCAUGCAUGCAUGUCGGUGACGCGAGCUACGACAUAAGACGACUCCGCCGUCGGGGUAGGUACGGUCGGCGAAGUAAGUUAAACGUUAACGAAAGUAAGUUAGUUAGGCGUUGAGACGNGCCGACGGACGACGACGAGGGAGGAGG
RNAcentral lists this ribosomal RNA (616 nucleotides) under uncultured bacterium. Its description in RNAcentral is "bacterial SSU rRNA". The stretch from base 1 to 519 matches the Rfam family "Bacterial small subunit ribosomal RNA", at positions 338 to 873 of the family's 1533-position model. The record is from RNAcentral.